This 477-nucleotide ribosomal RNA is filed under the name uncultured bacterium. Its description in RNAcentral is "partial 16S ribosomal RNA". It matches the Rfam family "Bacterial small subunit ribosomal RNA", at positions 355 to 822 of the family's 1533-position model. The record is from RNAcentral.
UGGGGAAUAUUGCACAAUGGGCGCAAGCCUGAUGCAGCCAUGCCGCGUGUGUGAAGAAGGCCUUCGGGUUGUAAAGCACUUUCAGCGAGGAGGAAGGUGGUGAACUUAAUACGUUCAUCAAUUGACGUUACUCGCAGAAGAAGCACCGGCUAACUCCGUGCCAGCAGCCGCGGUAAUACGGAGGGUGCAAGCGUUAAUCGGAAUUACUGGGCGUAAAGCGCACGCAGGCGGUUUGUUAAGUCAGAUGUGAAAUCCCCGGGCUCAACCUGGGAACUGCAUUUGAAACUGGCAAGCUAGAGUCUCGUAGAGGGGGGUAGAAUUCCAGGUGUAGCGGUGAAAUGCGUAGAGAUCUGGAGGAAUACCGGUGGCGAAGGCGGCCCCCUGGANGAAGACUGACGCUCAGGUGCGAAAAGGCGUGGGGGAGCAAACAGGAUUAGNUACCCUGGUAGUCACGCUGUAAACGAUGUCGAUUUUGGA